RNAcentral lists this transfer RNA (72 nucleotides) under Methylobacterium organophilum. RNAcentral describes it as "tRNA-Thr". It matches the Rfam family "tRNA". From Rfam's summary of the family: Transfer RNA (tRNA) molecules are approximately 80 nucleotides in length. Their secondary structure includes four short double-helical elements and three loops (D, anti-codon, and T loops). Lineage: Bacteria; Pseudomonadati; Pseudomonadota; Alphaproteobacteria; Hyphomicrobiales; Methylobacteriaceae. RNAcentral also lists the same sequence under 6 other names. The record is from RNAcentral.
GCUGCGGUAGCUCAGUGGUAGAGCACUUCAUUGGUAAUGAAGAGGUCGAGAGUUCAAUCCUCUCUCGCAGCA